Molecule: ribosomal RNA, 253 nt
Filed under: uncultured bacterium
Lineage: Bacteria
Description: partial 16S ribosomal RNA
Rfam family: Bacterial small subunit ribosomal RNA
Source: RNAcentral
UACGUAGGUCCCGAACGUUGCGCGAAUUUACUGGGCGUAAAGGGUCCGUAGGCGGUUUAGCAAGGGGUUGGUGAAAUUUCACGGCUCUACCGUGAAACUGCCUUCCAAACUGCUAAACUUGAGGCAUGGAGAGGGCGGCGGAAUUCCCGGUGUAGCGGUGAAAUGCGUAGAUAUCCGGAGGAACACCAGUGGCGAAGGCGGCCGACUGGAACUGUCCUGACGCUGAGGGACGAAAGCUAGGGGAGCAAACCGG